This 480-nucleotide ribosomal RNA is filed under the name uncultured bacterium. Its description in RNAcentral is "partial 16S ribosomal RNA". It matches the Rfam family "Bacterial small subunit ribosomal RNA", at positions 28 to 523 of the family's 1533-position model. The record is from RNAcentral.
GACGAACGCUGGCGGCGUGCUUUAUACAUGCAAGUCGAACGAUGAAGUUCCUUCGGGAAUGGAUUAGUGGCGAACGGGUGAGGAACACGUGAGAAACCUGCCUUUCAUUCUGGUAUAACACCGGGAACCCGGUGCUAAUACCGGAUACUCCGUCAUGGCGGCAUCGCCGAGCCCGGAAAAAAUUUUGAUGAAAGAUGGUCUCGCGGCCUAUCAGCUAGUUGGUGAGGUAAAGGCCCACCAAGGCGACGACGGGUAGCCGGCCUGAGAGGGCGACCGGCCACACUGGGACUGAGACACGGCCCAGACUCCUACGGGAGGCAGCAGUAGGGAAUAUUGGGCAAUGGGCGCAAGCCUGACCCAGCGACGCCGCGUGAGGGAUGAAGGUCUUCGGAUUGUAAACCUCUUUCAGUAGGGAAGAAGCGAAAGUGACGGUACCUAAAGAAGAAGCACCGGCUAACUAUGUGCCAGCAGCCGCAGUAA